RNAcentral lists this small RNA (107 nucleotides) under uncultured Treponema sp. RNAcentral describes it as "drum RNA". It matches the Rfam family "drum RNA". From Rfam's summary of the family: Firmicutes, Bacteroidetes (1 example), Proteobacteria (2 examples), Spirochaetes (2 examples). The record is from RNAcentral. Lineage: Bacteria; Pseudomonadati; Spirochaetota; Spirochaetia; Treponematales; Treponemataceae.
AGCGGUGAAGUAAGGUGUUGUGCCGACAAGCAGUGCCUUAUCAGUUCCAUAAGGGUUUGACAUUUACCGCCAGUCGGCUAGAUUGCUAACAAUCAAAAGAAAAUGUC